This 759-nucleotide ribosomal RNA is filed under the name uncultured Ascomycota. RNAcentral's name for it is "LSU rRNA". It matches the Rfam family "Eukaryotic large subunit ribosomal RNA", at positions 462 to 1236 of the family's 3401-position model. The record is from RNAcentral. Lineage: Eukaryota; Fungi; Ascomycota.
GGGCUUUUGCCCGGUGCACUCUUCUGCUGUCAGGCCAGCAUCGGUUCGGGCGGUCGGAUAAAGGCUUCGGGAAUGUAGCUCCUCUCGAGGAGUGUUAUAGCCCGUUGCGAAAUGCGGCCAGCCUGAACUGAGGUCCGCGCUUCGGCUAGGAUGCUGGCGUAAUGGUUGUAAGCGGCCCGUCUUGAAACACGGACCAAGGAGUCUAACAUCUGUGCGAGUGUUUGGGUGUCAAACCCGUACGCGUAAUGAAAGUGAACGGAGGCGGGAACCCCUCGGGGUGCACCGUCGACCGAUCCUGAUGUCUUCGGAUGGAUUUGAGUAAGAGCAUAGCUGUUGGGACCCGAAAGAUGGUGAACUAUGCCUGAAUAGGGUGAAGCCAGAGGAAACUCUGGUGGAGGCUCGCAGCGGUUCUGACGUGCAAAUCGAUCGUCAAAUUUGGGCAUAGGGGCGAAAGACUAAUCGAACUAUCUAGUAGCUGGUUCCUGCCGAAGUUUCCCUCAGGAUAGCAGUAACGUUUUCAGUUUUAUGAGGUAAAGCGAAUGAUUAGAGGCCUGGGGGUUGAAACAACCUUCACCUAUUCUCAAACUUUAAAUAUGUAAGAAGUCCUUGUUACUUAGUUGAACGUGGACAUUUGAAUGUAUCGUUACUAGUGGGCCAUUUUUGGUAAGCAGAACUGGCGAUGCGGGAUGAACCGAACGCGGAGUUAAGGUGCCGGAAUGCACGCUCAUCAGACACCACAAAAGGUGUUGGUUCAUCUAG